AACACAUGCAAGUCGAACGCGAAAGUCUCUUCGGAGAUGAGUAGAGUGGCGCACGGGUGAGUAACGCGUGGAUUAUCUACCUAUUGGUACGGGACAACAGUUGGAAACGACUGCUAAUACCGUAUAAGCUGGUAACGGGAAAGGGGGCCUCUUCUUGAAAGCUCUCGCCAGUAGAUGAGUCCGCGUUUCAUUAGCUAGACGGUGGGGUAACGGCCUACCGUGGCAACGAUGAAUAGCAGGCCUGAGAGGGUGGCCUGCCACACUGGGACUGGAACACGGCCCAGACUCCUACGGGAGGCAGCAGUGGGGAAUAUUGCGCAAUGGACGAAAGUCUGACGCAGCGACGCCGCGUGGAGGAUGAAGGUUUUCGGAUCGUAAACUCCUGUCAAGAGGGAAGAAACCUAUUAGGAAUAAUACUCCUAGUAAUUGACGGUACCUCUAGAGGAAGCACCGGCUAAUUCAGUGCCAGCAGCCGCGGUAAUACUGAAGGUGCAAGCGUUAAUCGGAAUCACUGGGCGUAAAGCGCUCGUAGGUGGCUUUGUAAGUCAGGUGUGAAAGCCCACGGCUCAACCGUGGAAUUGCACUUGAUACUGCAUCGC
Molecule: ribosomal RNA, 599 nt
Filed under: uncultured bacterium
Lineage: Bacteria
Description: bacterial SSU rRNA
Rfam family: Bacterial small subunit ribosomal RNA
Source: RNAcentral